AACCGGUACCCCUCUGUAACGGCCCGAACCAUCACUGGCACUAGGAUCCAGAUCGGCUUAAGGCCGCCGGGACCCGUAGUAAGCCGACUAUACUCUCUGUGUACCUGAUAAAUCCCAUACAUGAUAUAAAACGACUUAACAAUCCUGUAAAACUCUGUAGGCUUAACUACUGCUACUCAGAUAUGUUAAUCUGAAAGGGCCCUCAGGGCCUAUACCAGGAACUACCAUCUCUGUGGUUCAAGGGAUUGUAACCCUUUUCAUCUGUAACACAAUCCACUGGUAUCUCAUCAAAGCCAUACAUAAAG
Molecule: long non-coding RNA, 305 nt
Filed under: Manihot esculenta (cassava)
Lineage: Eukaryota; Viridiplantae; Streptophyta; Magnoliopsida; Malpighiales; Euphorbiaceae
Description: long non-coding RNA (MESC_LNC004064)
Source: RNAcentral